RNAcentral lists this long non-coding RNA (209 nucleotides) under Elaeis guineensis (African oil palm). RNAcentral's name for it is "long non-coding RNA (EGUI_LNC000410)". Lineage: Eukaryota; Viridiplantae; Streptophyta; Magnoliopsida; Arecales; Arecaceae. The record is from RNAcentral.
GAGGGGGAGGAAGUCAGAUCUGAGAGGUUGGGGACAAAUAUAUAUACAGAGAAAAGAUGGGGAAAGAAUCUGAGCACGUGUCCGGGGGUCGGGGUUGACGGGUGGGCACGUACGGUUAAAGAAUCGGAUAGAUAGACCGGAAUAGCCUUGUAUCUAUAAGAUGAAAACAGUGACGAAGAGGGGUAUUUUCGCCAAUGGGAUAAGGGACA